RNAcentral lists this ribosomal RNA (451 nucleotides) under uncultured Desulfobulbus sp. Its description in RNAcentral is "bacterial SSU rRNA". It matches the Rfam family "Bacterial small subunit ribosomal RNA", at positions 940 to 1382 of the family's 1533-position model. Lineage: Bacteria; Pseudomonadati; Thermodesulfobacteriota; Desulfobulbia; Desulfobulbales; Desulfobulbaceae. The record is from RNAcentral.
UGUGGUUUAAUUCGUAUGCAACGCGAAGAACCUUAACCUGGUCUUGACAUCCCGGAGACCCUUAGGAAACUAGGGGGUGGCUUCCAUCUGGAAGAAUCUGGAGACAGGUGCUGCAUGGCUGUCGUCAGCUCGUGUCGUGAGAUGUUGGGUUAAGUCCCGCAACGAGCGCAACCCUUGCCUUUAGUUGCCAGCAGUUCGGCUGGGCACUCUAAAGGGACUGCCGGUGUUAAACCGGAGGAAGGUGGGGAUGACGUCAAGUCCUCAUGGCCUUUAUGACCAGGGCUACACACGUACUACAAUGGCCGAUACAAAGGGCAGCGACACUGCGAGGUGAAGCCAAUCCCGUAAAAUCGGUCUCAGUCCGGAUUGGAGUCUGCAACUCGACUCCAUGAAGUUGGAAUCGCUAGUAAUCGUGGAUCAGCAUGCCACGGUGAAUACGUUCCCGGGCCUU